Molecule: ribosomal RNA, 867 nt
Filed under: uncultured bacterium
Lineage: Bacteria
Description: bacterial SSU rRNA
Rfam family: Bacterial small subunit ribosomal RNA
Source: RNAcentral
UUAGAGUUUGAUCCUGGCUCAGGAUGAACGCUGGCGGCGCGCCUAACACAUGCAAGUCGAACGGCACCCAUCUUCGGAUGGAAGCGAGUGGCGAACGGCUGAGUAACACGUGGAGAACCUGCCCCCUCCCCCGGGAUAGCCGCCCGAAAGGACGGGUAAUACCGGAUACCCCGGGGUGCCGCAUGGCACCCCGGCUAAAGCCCCGACGGGAGGGGAUGGCUCCGCGGCCCAUCAGGUAGACGGCGGGGUGACGGCCCACCGUGCCGACAACGGGUAGCCGGGUUGAGAGACCGACCGGCCAGAUUGGGACUGAGACACGGCCCAGGCUCCUACGGGAGGCAGCAGUGGGGAAUCUUGCGCAAUGGGGGGAACCCUGACGCAGCGACGCCGCGUGCGGGACGGAGGCCUUCGGGUCGUAAACCGCUUUCAGCAGGGAAGAGUCAAGACUGUACCUGCAGAAGAAGCCCCGGCUAACUACGUGCCAGCAGCCGCGGUAAUACGUAGGGGGCGAGCGUUAUCCGGAUUCAUUGGGCGUAAAGCGCGCGUAGGCGGCCCGGCAGGCCGGGGGUCGAAGCGGGGGGCUCAACCCCCCGAAGCCCCCGGAACCUCCGCGGCUUGGGUCCGGUAGGGGAGGGUGGAACACCCGGUGUAGCGGUGGAAUGCGCAGAUAUCGGGUGGAACACCGGUGGCGAAGGCGGCCCUCUGGGCCGAGACCGACGCUGAGGCGCGAAAGCUGGGGGAGCGAACAGGAUUAGAUACCCUGGUAGUCCCAGCCGUAAACGAUGGACGCUAGGUGUGGGGGGACGAUCCCCCCGUGCCGCAGCCAACGCAUUAAGCGUCCCGCCUGGGGAGUACGGCCGCAAGGCU